This 69-nucleotide transfer RNA is filed under the name Chodsigoa hoffmanni. Its description in RNAcentral is "tRNA-Trp". Lineage: Eukaryota; Metazoa; Chordata; Mammalia; Eulipotyphla; Soricidae. The record is from RNAcentral.
UAGGAAUUUAGGUUAAAUAGACCAAGAGCCUUCAAAGCCCUAAGUAAGUAACAGUAUACUUAAUUCCUG